AUCCUUUUGUGGUUCAUAAGCGUGAUCACUGGCUAUUCACACAUCCAUGUGACACAUGCUUCCCGCAAGCCUUGUGAUGAUCUCAGCGCAAUGACAUGAAA
Molecule: small nucleolar RNA, 101 nt
Organism: Sorex fumeus (smoky shrew)
Lineage: Eukaryota; Metazoa; Chordata; Mammalia; Eulipotyphla; Soricidae
Product: small nucleolar RNA U13
Exons: 1
Source: RefSeq, a predicted model, not a curated record